GUUCUGCCCUCUGACAUAAUCAAGAGCAACAGCUGUUUAGGACAGACCCACCACAGGACAAAGGGUGCAGAGCUGUCAGUAGUGACAAGCUGAAAACUGGACAACUGUGAUGAAGAUGGGAUGAAGAGCAGGGAAGCAUGCAUCUAUAUUAAAAAGUGAGUCACAUUACAUAUGUGGUUUUCAGGAAGGGAAUAGAACAGGAAACCCUCAUGCAAAUAGGAAGUUCUAGAUGGACAUUUAGAAGAGGAACUCUUACAAUGAAAAAUAAAUGAAACCAAACACACAGUACCUGAGAGAUAGGGAGAGAGAGAGAGAGAGAGAGAGAGAGAGAGAGAGAGAGAGAGAGAGAGAGAGAGGAAACAAGGGGGAGGGAGUCACACACCAAAAAAGGGCUUGAGCCAGAGCUGGAAUCAAUGCUUACUGGACAAACGGGAGACGCCACAGGAGAAGAAUAAGGCAACAACAGCAAAUGGUGCAAGAGAGAGAGAGAGAGAGAGAGAGAGAGAGAGAGAGAGAGAGAGAGAGAGAGAGAGAGAGAGAGAGUUGUGAGGGGCAUGAAAAACAACAGGGCAAACUAAAGACUGGGUAAGUGUAUUAAGUAUGUGCAGUAUGUUUUGAGGUAAGUGGUAGUGUACAUAUUUAUAAGGCUGGGUGAAAAGGGAGUGUCUUUUAUAUGAGGCUAUGGAAUAGAGCUGCAGCUGAGCACAUACUGUAAGCUGUGGUGUGCCACUAUGUCCACGGGCCCCGGGUCCCGAGAGGCCCCUCUGUCCAGAGAGAAGAUGCUGAAGGAGCCUGGUGUGACAGUGGGGAGCUCGGUUCAUAGUCCUGUGGGACUUCAGACGUUACUUGACCUGCUGGUUGGAGUCUACGAGGAGUUCCAGUGUUCCGAUACGACCAGAGAUAGAUACAUCAGACGCUUCCUGCAGUGGGCGGAACCUCUGGUGAGCCAAGUGAAGAAGACCCGCAUAAAAAGGGAUGAUUUCAACAUCUUAAAGGUGAUUGGCCGGGGGACCUUCAGUGAGGUCGCUGUGGCUAGAAUGCACAAUUCUCAACAGGUCUAUGCGCUGAAGAUAAUGAACAAAUGGGACAUGCUGAAGCGUGGAGAGACAGCAUGCUAUCAGGAGGAAAGGGAGGUUUUGCUAAAAGGGGAUCGUCGCUGGAUCACAGAGUUGCACUAUGCCUUCCAAGAUGACAAUUACCUUUACUUAGCAAUGGAUUACUAUGUUGGUGGAGACUUGCUGACAUUGCUUAGUAAAUUUGGUGACCAUAUUCCAGAAGACAUGGCUCAGUUUUACUUGGCAGAGAUGGUGAUGGCUAUUGACUCAGUCCACAGACUGGGCUAUGUCCACAGAGAUGUAAAGCCUGAUAACAUUCUGCUAACAGCAGAUGGACAUGUGCGACUGGGGGACUUUGGGUCAUGUUUAAGACUGCAUGAUGAUGGCUUGAUUCACUCCUCACUGGCUGUUGGUACUCCAGACUACCUGUCUCCCGAGAUCUUGCGAGCAGUAGAAGGUGGUGGAGGCUAUGGCAUAGAGUGUGACUGGUGGGCUCUUGGUGUGUGUGCAUAUGAAAUGCUACUGGGGACCACACCUUUCUAUGCAGAGUCAUUGUCUGAAACCUAUGCAAAAAUAAUCCACUUUCAGGAUUAUUUUGAGUUCCCUGCAUCUGCUGUGGAGAUUUCAGAGGAGGCACGUGCCCUCAUCACAGGUUUGCUAUGUGACAGGAAUGAGAGGCUGGGUAGAAAUGGCUCUGCAGAUUUCCGGAGUCAUCCUUUCUUCAGUGGGCUCGAGUGGAGUGUCCUGCACCAGUUGCCUGCUCCCUAUCGGCCUGAAGUCUCCAAUGCUACAGAUACUUCCAACUUUGAUGUGCUGGAUGACUGCCUCAGUGAAACAGAGACUCUGACUGAUGUAAUGGACAGAGCACCUAGAGGAAUUCACCUAGCAUUUGUUGGAUACUCUUAUACAGCUACCAGAGAAACAGGUGCUGUGGACCGCAGCCAAGACAUCAUGAUGGAGAUUGACCAGCAGCCAGUGCUUGAGUCUCUGUACCUGCCGGAGAAACUGAAUCAAGUGUGGCAGCUCAGGGAGCCUCAUGAGGUGUCAACACAGACAGAUUUUUCCCUGGCCCUUGAACACAGUACUGUAGAGCCAUCAACCACACCAGAUACAGAACAGAACAACACCCAACUCCAGGAGCUGCAGAGGCAACUGAGUGAGGCUGAGCAAAGAAACAGUGACCUGAAACAAGAAGUACAAACCCUUCAUGACGUGAUCCACAGACUCAAGGUCCAGCAGGACAAAGGAAUAGGCCACUGCGAGGUCUACACCAGCACAUGCCAAUCAAAGAGUGUGUGAAGCAGCUCCUCACCCAGGUCAUGUGACUAGAAUGCAGAGCACUGAACUACCUCUCACUGCCUCCUACUUUCACACCAACAAGCUAUUCAUCAAGAAAUGAACCCUACAGUAUCUUCUUACACUUUACAUGUGCGAAACAGGCACCAAGCUCUCACUUUCCAUUGUGCAUGCCACUGGACACAGGCAUGAAAAAGCAUGACCUUUCUCCUGUUGUGUGGCUUAGUGGCCUGUGCAUUCCUCUCUAAAGUGUAGUACCUAGUCAUGUAAGAAGGACACUUGUAUAUAUGUGUGUUUCCAUUUUCCACAGGACUGCACUAAUGGCUUUUUUCAUCUGAUCACAGAACUGUGUAUGUGCCCAUCACCUGUCUUUCUGCCUGCCUGCUGUUUGGAGCCUUUCAGGGAUAAUUCAUCAGUGCCCCCUGCCUGCCAUUACCCACUAGUGAGGCCUCUGCUGC
Molecule: RNA transcript, 2809 nt
Organism: Tachysurus vachellii
Lineage: Eukaryota; Metazoa; Chordata; Actinopteri; Siluriformes; Bagridae
Gene name: myotonin-protein kinase
Exons: 14
Source: RefSeq, a predicted model, not a curated record